AAUCGAUGGGAGCUUGCUCCCUGAGAUUAGCGGCGGACGGGUGAGUAACACGUGGGCAACCUGCCUAUAAGACUGGGAUAACUUCGGGAAACCGGAGCUAAUACCGGAUACGUUCUUUUCUCGCAUGAGAGAAGAUGGAAAGACGGUUUACGCUGUCACUUAUAGAUGGGCCCGCGGCGCAUUAGCUAGUUGGUGAGGUAAUGGCUCACCAAGGCGACGAUGCGUAGCCGACCUGAGAGGGUGAUCGGCCACACUGGGACUGAGACACGGCCCAGACUCCUACGGGAGGCAGCAGUAGGGAAUCUUCCGCAAUGGACGAAAGUCUGACGGAGCAACGCCGCGUGAACGAAGAAGGCCUUCGGGUCGUAAAGUUCUGUUGUUAGGGAAGAACAAGUACCAGAGUAACUGCUGGUACCUUGACGGUACCUAACCAGAAAGCCACGGCUAACUACGUGCCAGCAGCCGCGGUAAUACGUAGGUGGCAAGCGUUGUCCGGAAUUAUUGGGCGUAAAGCGCGCGCAGGUGGUUCCUUAAGUCUGAUGUGAAAGCCCACGGCUCAACCGUGGAGGGUCAUUGGAAACUGGGGAACUUGAGUGCAGAAGAGGAAAGUGGAAUUCCAAGUGUAGCGGUGAAAUGCGUAGAGAUUUGGAGGAACACCAGUGGCGAAGGCGACUUUCUGGUCUGUAACUGACACUGAGGCGCG
Molecule: ribosomal RNA, 703 nt
Filed under: Bacillus sp. FJAT-4482
Lineage: Bacteria; Bacillati; Bacillota; Bacilli; Caryophanales; Bacillaceae
Description: bacterial SSU rRNA
Rfam family: Bacterial small subunit ribosomal RNA
Source: RNAcentral